GCUCGUAUGCAUUUUUAUUGCGUUUUAGAAUUCGUUUAUAUUUUGUAGUACUGUGGUUCUAGUCUGUGUUUUGUUGUGCUGCGCUGGUUUGUAAUUUUUUAUGUGCACUUCUAGUUCGUUUUGUUGUUCAAUAUCACUUGCAUUGUUAUGGUUGUGUCGUACUCGUUUACAUUUAUGUUGUUGGGUUGUCACACUAUGCUGAUAAUUGAGUAGAAAGCGAUGUACAAGAUGGUUUAUUCAGUUGCAUGAUGCAACUGAAUGUUGG
This 265-nucleotide long non-coding RNA is filed under the name Mytilus galloprovincialis (Mediterranean mussel). Lineage: Eukaryota; Metazoa; Mollusca; Bivalvia; Mytilida; Mytilidae. The record is from RNAcentral.